UGGGGAAUUGUUCGCAAUGGGCGCAAGCCUGACGACGCAACGCCGCGUGGAGGAUGAAGGUCUUCGGAUCGUAAACUCCUGUUGCCCGGGACGAAUGGCUUCGACCUAAUACGUCGGAGUAUGACGGUACCGGGUGAGGAAGCCCCGGCUAACUCUGUGCCAGCAGCCGCGGUAAUACAGAGGGGGCAAGCGUUGUUCGGAAUUACUGGGCGUAAAGGGCGCGUAGGCGGCCUGUUAAGUCGAACGUGAAAUCCCUGGGCUCAACCCAGGAACUGCGUCCGAUACUGGCUGGCUUGAAUCCGGGAGAGGGAUGCGGAAUUCCAGGUGUAGCGGUGAAAUGCGUAGAUAUCGGGAGGAACACCUGUGGCGAAGGCGGCCACCUGGUUGGAUACUGACGCUGAGACGCGAAAGCGUGGGGAGCAAACAGGAUUAGAUACCCAGGUAGUCCCUGAGCGGGCUGGCAAGGCGCAU
This 471-nucleotide ribosomal RNA is filed under the name uncultured bacterium. RNAcentral's name for it is "bacterial SSU rRNA". It matches the Rfam family "Bacterial small subunit ribosomal RNA", at positions 355 to 825 of the family's 1533-position model. The record is from RNAcentral.